RNAcentral lists this ribosomal RNA (497 nucleotides) under uncultured bacterium. RNAcentral describes it as "partial 16S ribosomal RNA". It matches the Rfam family "Bacterial small subunit ribosomal RNA", at positions 28 to 507 of the family's 1533-position model. The record is from RNAcentral.
GAUGAACGCUGGCGGCGUGCCUAAUACAUGCCAGUCGAGCGCUGAGAUAUGGUGCUUGUACCUACGACAUUAGCGGCGAACGGGUGAGUAACACGUGGGUAACCUGCCUUUGAGCGGGGGACAACUUCUGGAAACGAAUGCUAAUACCGCAUAACAUCUUUAAACACAUGUUUCAAGUUUGAAAGAUGCAAUUGCAUCACCCAAUGAAGAUCUCGCGUUGUAUUAGCUAGGUGGUGAGGGAAAGGCUCACCCAAGGCAUGAUACAUAGCCGAACUGAGAAGGUGGUCGGCCAACUUGGGACUGGGAAAAGGCCCCAACCCCUAAGGGAGGGAGCAGGAGGGAAACUUCGGGCAUGGGCGAAAGGCUGGACGAGGAAAGCCGGCGGAGGGAAGGAGGUUCUCGGAUCGGAAAAAUCCGUUGAUAGGGGAGAAAGUUGGUGGGAGUGAACUGCGCACAAAGUGACGGUAACUGAUCAGAAAGCGACGGCUAACUACGUG